AGAGUUUGAUCCUGGCUCAGAAUGAACGCUGGCGGCGUGCCUAACACAUGCAAGUCGGAUGUGCCGCAAGGUGCAUGGCAGACGGGUGAGUAACGCGUGGGGAAUCUACCUCUUUGUGGGGAAUAACGCUCCGAAAGGAGUGGUAAUACCGCAUGAGACCAAUGGCUGGAAUGUUGUUGGUGAAACCUGGGGACCGCAAGGCCUGGGGCAAGGAGAGGAUCCUGCGUCUGAUUAGCUAGUUGGCGGGGUAACGGCCCACCAAGGCGACGAUCAGUAGCCGGCCUGAGAGGGUGAUCGGCCACACUGGAACUGAGACACGGUCCAGACUCCUACGGGAGGCAGCAGUGGGGAAUUUUGCGCAAUGGGCGAAAGCCUGACGCAGCAACGCCGCGUGGGUGAUGAAGGUCUUCGGAUCGUAAAACCCUGUCGUCAGGGACGAAGGUUUGGGGGUUAAUAACCCUUAGGCUUGACGGUACCUGGAGAGGAAGCCCCGGCUAACUCUGUGCCAGCAGCCGCGGUAAUACAGAGGGGGCAAGCGUUAUCCGGAAUUAUUGGGCGUAAAGAGCUCGUAGGCGGUUUGUCGCGUCUGCCGUGAAAGUCCGGGGCUCAACUCCGGAUCUGCGGUGGGUACGGGCAGACUAGAGUGAUGUAGGGGAGACUGGAAUUCCUGGUGUAGCGGUGAAAUGCGCAGAUAUCAGGAGGAACACCGAUGGCGAAGGCAGGUCUCUGGGCAUUAACUGACGCUGAGGAGCGAAAGCAUGGGGAGCGAACAGGAUUAGAUACCCUGGUAGUCC
RNAcentral lists this ribosomal RNA (794 nucleotides) under uncultured bacterium. Its description in RNAcentral is "bacterial SSU rRNA". It matches the Rfam family "Bacterial small subunit ribosomal RNA", at positions 8 to 796 of the family's 1533-position model. The record is from RNAcentral.